GGCGAACGGGUGAGUAACACGUGGGCAACCUGCCCCUGGCUCUGGGAUAACUCCAAGAAAUUGGGGCUAAUACCGGAUAUGACCGCUGACCGCAUGGUCUGGUGGUGGAAAGAUUUAUCGGCUGGGGAUGGGCCCGCGGCCUAUCAGCUUGUUGGUGGGGUAGUGGCCUACCAAGGCGACGACGGGUAGCCGGCCUGAGAGGGUGACCGGCCACACUGGGACUGAGACACGGCCCAGACUCCUACGGGAGGCAGCAGUGGGGAAUAUUGCGCAAUGGGCGAAAGCCUGACGCAGCGACGCCGCGUGGGGGAUGACGGCCUUCGGGUUGUAAACCUCUUUCAGCAGGGACGAAGCGAAAGUGACGGUACCUGCAGAAGAAGCACCGGCCAACUACGUGCCAGCAGCCGCGG
RNAcentral lists this ribosomal RNA (410 nucleotides) under uncultured bacterium. RNAcentral's name for it is "bacterial SSU rRNA". It matches the Rfam family "Bacterial small subunit ribosomal RNA", at positions 97 to 520 of the family's 1533-position model. The record is from RNAcentral.